Molecule: ribosomal RNA, 377 nt
Filed under: uncultured bacterium
Lineage: Bacteria
Description: bacterial SSU rRNA
Rfam family: Bacterial small subunit ribosomal RNA
Source: RNAcentral
UAAUACGUAGGGGGCAAGCGUUGUCCGGAUUUACUGGGCGUAAAGGGCGCGUAGGUGGAAGGUUCAGCGUGGCCUGAAAGCCCCCGGCUCAACCGGGGAGGGCGGCUGCGAACUGGCCUUCUUGAGGGCGAGAGAGGAGCGUGGAAUUCCUGGUGUAGCGGUGAAAUGCGUAGAGAUCAGGAGGAACACCCGUGGCGAAGGCGGCGCUCUGGCUCGCCCCUGACACUGAGGCGCGAAAGCGUGGGGAGCGAACGGGAUUAGAUACCCCGGUAGUCCACGCCGUAAACGAUGGUCACCAGGUGUGUGCGGUAUCGACCCCGCACGUGCCGGCGCUAACGCAAUCAGUGACCCGCCUGGGGAGUACGGCCGCAAGGUUG